GCCUCAGUGGGAGGGACGGAGUGAGGGAGGAGGGAGGCAAGGGGGCGGCGGCAGCGGCGGCUCACACCGGAUCUGCCCUCAGCACAGCGCGCACGGAAGGGGGGUCGGCCGGGGAAGCAGUGCCCGCCCGGACCCCCCACCCCCGUGGGAGUCAGCCCAGGGUGUGAGCGCGGGGCAGUGGAGCUCGGAGAGACUGCUGCAGCUCGGAUAUCUUAUGGUGGUGUUAGAACAACAGAGUUCUAGUUUGUCAUAAAAGGAACAUCUUCUUCACACUACUUCUUGCUGAUGUUUUGAAACUUUUCAAAGCAUUUGUGUAGAGAUCAGAGGACAACACGUGGGACUUCUUACUCUCCUUCCUUAUGUGAGUCCCCAAGACUGAAUUCAGAUUAUCAGUUUUAUGCAGGUACUGAAAGGCCAGAUGUUUCCUCUGUGGCUGGCAAAGCCAGAGAUUCAUCUUGGCAGUGACCUUUAUGGUCUGAAAUAAAAGGUGAGAGUCCUGUGACAAUGAAAAGAAUCCGUUGGUUUUCCAGUUGAGACUAAGCACUUUUAUCAUUUAAAAUUAUUUCCACAAGAUUAAAUGGGCUAUUUUGUAUUGUUGAUGUUUGAUCAUUUUAGCUUCAGAGUGACAAGACGUUCUUUUAAAAUCAUAAGGGUGCUUUGUUGUGGACAUAGAUGCAAAUUGGGAUAAACUGGAGAAUCAUAUUUUAGAAGUCAUGAUUUAAUAAGACACUAGUAAAAUCAUUUAAUGUCAGUAAGGUAACACAUUUGGUUGUUUAUAUGAGGUCUUUGAAAACCUUGGUUUCAAUUUGUGGCCAUGAUUGCUUUUUAUUUUUUUAAACUUUUUUUCCAAGGAUGCUGUAUGUGGAGAUGCCAUUAUUCUGAAUUUUCAGACAUGCUUUAAGCUUGGUGUCAAAGUCAUCAUAGUGUAAACAGAAAGUUAUCUGGUAGGCUGCACAUCAC
RNAcentral lists this long non-coding RNA (960 nucleotides) under Cricetulus griseus (Chinese hamster). RNAcentral describes it as "lncRNA (ENSCGRG00015042079.1)". The record is from RNAcentral. Lineage: Eukaryota; Metazoa; Chordata; Mammalia; Rodentia; Cricetidae.